AUUGAACGCUGGCGGCGUGCUUUACACAUGCAAGUCGAACGGUAACAGGCCUUCGGGUGCUGACGAGUGGCGAACGGGUGAGUAAUGCAUCGGAACGUACCCAGAGGUGGGGGAUAACGCAGCGAAAGCUGUGCUAAUACCGCAUGUGAUCUGAGGAUGAAAGCGGGGGACCGAGCAGCAAUGUUUGGCCUCGCGCCUUUGGAGCGGCCGAUGUCGGAUUAGCUAGUUGGUGGGGUAAAGGCCUACCAAGGCGACGAUCCGUAGCUGGUCUGAGAGGACGACCAGCCACACUGGGACUGAGACACGGCCCAGACUCCUACGGGAGGCAGCAGUGGGGAAUUUUGGACAAUGGGCGCAAGCCUGAUCCAGCAAUGCCGCGUGCGGGAAGAAGGCCUUCGGGUUGUAAACCGCUUUUGGCAGGAACGAAACGGUGUCCGCUAAUACCGGGCGCUAAUGACGGUACCUGCAGAAUAAGCACCGGCUAACUACGUG
RNAcentral lists this ribosomal RNA (492 nucleotides) under uncultured bacterium. Its description in RNAcentral is "partial 16S ribosomal RNA". It matches the Rfam family "Bacterial small subunit ribosomal RNA", at positions 29 to 507 of the family's 1533-position model. The record is from RNAcentral.